This 255-nucleotide ribosomal RNA is filed under the name Triticum aestivum (bread wheat). RNAcentral describes it as "partial small subunit ribosomal RNA". The record is from RNAcentral. Lineage: Eukaryota; Viridiplantae; Streptophyta; Magnoliopsida; Poales; Poaceae.
AUGGAAAAUAGAAAUACUUUUUCUUGGGUAAAGGAACAGAUAACUCGAUCGAUUUCUAUAUUGAUCAUGAUAUACGUAAUAACUCAGACAUCUAUUUCAAAUGCAUAUCCCAUUUUUGUGCAGCAGGGUUAUGAAAACCCACGAGAAGCAACUGGACGAAUUGUAUGUGCCAAUUGCCAUUUAGCUAGCAAGCCCGUUGAUAUUGAAGUUCCCCAAGUUGUGCUUCCCGAUAAUGUAUUUGAAGCAGUUCUUUGA